GAGGAGCGGACGCGGCGCCCGAGGACGUGGAGAACGACAACGCUCUGCUCGCUGCACACGCCAAGGGCGAGGCGAGCUCUCCGGCGGCGCUCCAGCGUCUGCGAGCCUCCUUCGCUUGCUCUAUCAAGUGAGUGGGCGCCCAACGUGGGACCCACCCUACCUCUACUCCCUUCCUUACCAAUAACAUUCUUUCUGAUUCCCGGGACGACGUAGAGGUACAUCAUACCCGCAUCGGACUACUAGCUGAAUAUUAUCAUUCAAGACGAUGGGUGUGUUGAAGUAUCAAGAUCGUGCAAUACCUCCGAUUGAAUCGAGCGGUAGAUCAAUAUCUUAUAGUGCCUAAGUUAUAAUUAUGAGAAUUUAUAAAUUUUAUACGGAUGCAAUUUAUUUAAAAUCACAAUCAAUACGUACGUUUUAUAUGAUUCAAUAAUAUAUUGUUUAUACGGCCUAUACGAAUUCAUGGCUCAAAGCUUGCG
Molecule: unclassified non-coding RNA, 476 nt
Filed under: Melitaea cinxia (Glanville fritillary)
Lineage: Eukaryota; Metazoa; Arthropoda; Insecta; Lepidoptera; Nymphalidae
Description: misc RNA ENSMCXG00005018124.1
Source: RNAcentral